RNAcentral lists this ribosomal RNA (533 nucleotides) under Klebsiella oxytoca. Its description in RNAcentral is "bacterial SSU rRNA". It matches the Rfam family "Bacterial small subunit ribosomal RNA", at positions 777 to 1310 of the family's 1533-position model. Lineage: Bacteria; Pseudomonadati; Pseudomonadota; Gammaproteobacteria; Enterobacterales; Enterobacteriaceae. The record is from RNAcentral.
AUUAGAUACCCUGGUAGUCCACGCUGUAAACGAUGUCGACUUGGAGGUUGUUCCCUUGAGGAGUGGCUUCCGGAGCUAACGCGUUAAGUCGACCGCCUGGGGAGUACGGCCGCAAGGUUAAAACUCAAAUGAAUUGACGGGGGCCCGCACAAGCGGUGGAGCAUGUGGUUUAAUUCGAUGCAACGCGAAGAACCUUACCUACUCUUGACANNNNNNGAACUUAGCAGAGAUGCUUUGGUGCCUUCGGGAACUCUGAGACAGGUGCUGCAUGGCUGUCGUCAGCUCGUGUUGUGAAAUGUUGGGUUAAGUCCCGCAACGAGCGCAACCCUUAUCCUUUGUUGCCAGCGGUCCGGCCGGGAACUCAAAGGAGACUGCCAGUGAUAAACUGGAGGAAGGUGGGGAUGACGUCAAGUCAUCAUGGCCCUUACGAGUAGGGCUACACACGUGCUACAAUGGCAUAUACAAAGAGAAGCGACCUCGCGAGAGCAAGCGGACCUCAUAAAGUAUGUCGUAGUCCGGAUUGGAGUCUGCAA